GUAGAUUAAGCCAUGCAUGUCUAAGUAUAAGCAAUUUAUACGGUGAAACUGCGAAUGGCUCAUUAUAUCAGUUAUAGUCUACUUGAUAGUUCCUUACUACUUGGAUACCCGUAGUAAUUCUAGAGCUAAUACAUGCUAGAAAACCCAACUGCUUGUCGGACGGGUUGCAUUUAUUAGAUUGAAACCAAUGCAGCUUUGCUGGAAUUGAGUUGAGUCAUAAUAACUGUGCGGAUCGUGUUUUCGGACGCGAUGAAUCAAUUGAGUUUCUGCCCUAUCAGCUUUGGAUGGUAGAAUAUGGGUCUACCAUGGCAUUGACGGGUAACGGGGAAUUAGGGUUUGAUUCCGGAGAGGGAGCCUUAGAAACGGCUACCACAUCCAAGGAAGGCAGCAGGCGCGUAAAUUACCCAAUCCUAAUUCAGGGAGGUAGUGACAAUAAAUAACUAUGACGGGCUUUUUUAAGUCUGUCAAUAGGAAUGAGAACAAUUUAAAUCCCUUAGCGAGGAUCAAUUGGAGGGCAAGUCUGGUGCCAGCAGCCGCGGUAAUUCCAGCUCCAAUAGCGUAUAUUAAAGUUGUUGCAGUUAAAAAGCUCGUAGUUGAAUAUCUGUUUCUAGUGUCCGGUCCGUCAAUGAUGUGUACUAGUGAUGCUGGAUUCAUAUUUUGUGAGGCUGUAUGCUGGCAUUAAUUUGUUGGUGUAUUGGGCUUGCAUCGUUUACUGUGAAAAAAUUAGAGUGUUUAAAGCAGGCGUUCGCUUUUGAAUACAUUAGCAUGGAAUAAUAAGAUAUGACUUGUGUGGUCUAUUU
Molecule: ribosomal RNA, 800 nt
Filed under: uncultured stramenopile
Lineage: Eukaryota
Description: SSU rRNA
Rfam family: Eukaryotic small subunit ribosomal RNA
Source: RNAcentral